RNAcentral lists this ribosomal RNA (464 nucleotides) under uncultured bacterium. RNAcentral's name for it is "partial 16S ribosomal RNA". It matches the Rfam family "Bacterial small subunit ribosomal RNA", at positions 28 to 507 of the family's 1533-position model. The record is from RNAcentral.
GACGAACGCUGGCGGCGUGCUUAACACAUGCAAGUCGAACGGAAAGGCCCAGCUUGCUGGGUGCUCGAGUGGCGAACGGGUGAGUAACACGUUGGUGAUCUGCCCCUAACUUCGGGAUAAGCUUGGGAAACUGGUUCUAAUACCGGAUAGGACAAUCGUUUAGUGUCGGUUGUGGAAAGUUUUUUCGGUUAGGGAUGAGCCCGCGGCCUAUCAGCUUGUUGGUGGGGUAAUGGCCUACCAAGGCGUCGACGGGUAGCCGGCCUGAGAGGGUGGACGGCCACAUUGGGACUGAGAUACGGCCCAGACUCCUACGGGAGGCAGAAGUGGGGAAUAGUGCACAAUGGGCGCAAGCCUGAUGCAGCGACGCCGCGUGGGGGAUGACGGCCUUCGGGUUGUAAACCUCUUUCGACAGGGACGAAGCUUUGGUGACGGUACCUGUAUAAGAAGCACCGGCUAACUACGUG